CCCCCCUCAGGGUCACACCUGAAGAGUUUCCAGUACUCUACCAGUCUCGACUAUGAGAGGGAGAGUAAAGCAGAGGCAUAUCCAUUCCAUUCCUAGCUUGGCCAGUGGCUAGUGAGUGGAAAGUGAUCUGCUUCAGAC
RNAcentral lists this small nucleolar RNA (138 nucleotides) under Ornithorhynchus anatinus (platypus). The record is from RNAcentral. Lineage: Eukaryota; Metazoa; Chordata; Mammalia; Monotremata; Ornithorhynchidae.